RNAcentral lists this ribosomal RNA (497 nucleotides) under uncultured bacterium. RNAcentral describes it as "partial 16S ribosomal RNA". It matches the Rfam family "Bacterial small subunit ribosomal RNA", at positions 28 to 507 of the family's 1533-position model. The record is from RNAcentral.
GAUGAACGCUGGCGGCGUGCCUAAUACAUGCAAGUCGAGCGAACGGUCGAGAAGCUUGCUUCUCUGAUGUUAGCGGCGGACGGGUGAGUAACACGUGGAUAACCUACCUAUAAGACUGGGAUAACUUCGGGAAACCGGAGCUAAUACCGGAUGAUAUUUUGAACCGCAUGGUUCAAAAGUGAAAGACGGUCUUGCUGUCACUUAUAGAUGGAUCCGCGCUGCAUUAGCUAGUUGGUAAGGUAAUGGCUUACCAAGGCAACGAUGCAUAGCCGACCUGAGAGGGUGAUCGGCCACACUGGAACUGAGACACGGUCCAGACUCCUACGGGAGGCAGCAGUAGGGAAUCUUCCGCAAAGGGCGAAAGCCUGACGGAGCAACGCCGCGUGAGUGAUGAAGGUCUUCGGAUCGUAAAACUCUGUUAUUAGGGAAGAACAUAUGUGUAAGUAACUGUGCACAUCUUGACGGUACCUAAUCAGAAAGCCACGGCUAACUACGUG